UGACGAUAGCCUAGGAGAUACACCUGUUCCCAUGCCGAACACAGAAGUUAAGCCCUAGCACGCCUGAUGUAGUUGGGGGUUGCCCCCUGUUAGAUAUGGUAGUCGCUUAGC
This 111-nucleotide ribosomal RNA is filed under the name Streptococcus equinus. The record is from RNAcentral. Lineage: Bacteria; Bacillati; Bacillota; Bacilli; Lactobacillales; Streptococcaceae.